GGUUAUGGCUCAGUGGUAGAGCGCUUGCCUAGCACGUGUGAGGCACUGGGUUAGAUCCUCAGCACCA
This 67-nucleotide transfer RNA is filed under the name Marmota monax (woodchuck). Its description in RNAcentral is "tRNA.Ala". Lineage: Eukaryota; Metazoa; Chordata; Mammalia; Rodentia; Sciuridae. The record is from RNAcentral.